CUCGUUCAAUGUGUGUAUGUUGACAAAAAUUAGCUUGUGCCAUCAUUUGCGAUUAUCUUGUUGCAGUGUAGUUGACAGUUGCCACCUUCUUCCUGCAGGUUGAGCUUGCCACUGGCCAGUUUCCUUAUCAGGAUUGUAAAACUGACUUUGAAGUUCUAAGCAGAGUCCUUCAGGAUGAGCCCCUUCUUUGCCUGAUGAUGGCACUUUUUCAUCGGAGUUCUGCUCCUUUGUCAGGCAAUGCCUCACAAAAGACUACAACAAGAGGCCAAAGUACAAGAAACUUCUGGAACAUCCCUUCAUAAAGCGGUAUGAAACGAAGAGGUGGAUGUAGCAGCAUGGCUAGCCAGAGUGAUGGACAACUCCCAAGAUGGCCAGUGAAAAGAGGCGGCUUAUGCAGACUCCCAUGGAAGCAGCAAGCAGAUGCCAAAUCGAAUGCUUGGUUUAGUUUCCAACCAGCAGCGGCUUUGCCCUCACAUGUCGACAUGUUUUUUCAUGCGACUGAGCAGGAUGGCACACACACCAGAGUGUAGGAUCCACAUAAGAGGCUGGCAGGUCAUGCCCAUUUUUCAUAGCUGCCCAUCUUGGUGUCGCAGUGUGGAGCAAGGUAUGUAGGAUGCAGU
Molecule: long non-coding RNA, 620 nt
Organism: Rhipicephalus sanguineus (brown dog tick)
Lineage: Eukaryota; Metazoa; Arthropoda; Arachnida; Ixodida; Ixodidae
Exons: 3
Source: RefSeq, a predicted model, not a curated record